RNAcentral lists this microRNA precursor (65 nucleotides) under Schmidtea mediterranea. RNAcentral's name for it is "Sme-Mir-216-P2e_pre stem-loop". Lineage: Eukaryota; Metazoa; Platyhelminthes; Tricladida; Dugesiidae. The record is from RNAcentral.
CAAUCUCAGCCUGUUAAUAGGAGUUUGGAAAUGUUUAAAUACUCCUAUAACGUCUGAUGAUUACU